UGCGGCCAUGGUGGAACUGGUAGACACGCUAGCUUGAGGUGCUAGUGGCGAGAGCCAUGGAAGUUCAAGUCUUCUUGGCCGCAUC
RNAcentral lists this transfer RNA (85 nucleotides) under Spirochaetia bacterium. Its description in RNAcentral is "tRNA-Leu". It matches the Rfam family "tRNA". Rfam says of the family: Transfer RNA (tRNA) molecules are approximately 80 nucleotides in length. Lineage: Bacteria; Pseudomonadati; Spirochaetota; Spirochaetia. The record is from RNAcentral.